GAAUAUUGCGCAAUGGCCUAAGGGCUGACGCAGCGACGCCGCGUGUGGGAGGACGCCCCUAGGGGUGUAAACCACUGUUGCCCGGGACGAAUCCUGGAUUAGUUCCAGGUUGACGGUACCGGGUGAGGAAGCACCGGCUAACUCCGUGCCAGCAGCCGCGGUAAUACGGAGGGUGCGAGCGUUGUCCGGAAUCACUGGGCGUAAAGGGCGCGUAGGCGGCAGGCCAAGCGUGCGGUGAAAGUCCGGGGCUCAACCCCGGAUCUGCCGUGCGGACUGGUUUGCUAGAGCACUGUAGAGGCGAGUGGAAUUCCGGGUGUAGCGGUGGAAUGCGUAGAGAUCCGGAAGAACACCGGUGGCGAAGGCGGCUCGCUGGGCAGUGGCUGACGCUGAGGCGCGACAGCGUGGGGAGCAAACAG
RNAcentral lists this ribosomal RNA (416 nucleotides) under uncultured bacterium. RNAcentral's name for it is "bacterial SSU rRNA". It matches the Rfam family "Bacterial small subunit ribosomal RNA", at positions 359 to 775 of the family's 1533-position model. The record is from RNAcentral.